GACGAACGCUGGCGGCGUGCUUAACACAUGCAAGUCGAACGGAAAGGCCCUGCUUUUGUGGGGUGCUCGAGUGGCGAACGGGUGAGCAACACGUGAGUAACCUGCCCUUGACUUUGGGAUAACUUCAGGAAACUGGGGCUAAUACCGGAUAGGAGCUCCUGCUGCAUGGUGGGGGUUGGAAAGUUUCGGCGGUUGGGGAUGGACUCGCGGCUUAUCAGCUUGUUGGUGGGGUAGUGGCUUACCAAGGCUUUGACGGGUAGCCGGCCUGAGAGGGUGACCGGCCACAUUGGGACUGAGAUACGGCCCAGACUCCUACGGGAGGCUGCAGUGGGGAAUAUUGCACAAUGGGCGGAAGCCUGAUGCAGCAACGCCGCGUGCGGGAUGACGGCCUUCGGGUUGUAAACCGCUUUCGCCUGUGACGAAGCGUGAGUGACGGUAAUGGGUAAAGAAGCACCGGCUAACUACGUG
Molecule: ribosomal RNA, 468 nt
Filed under: uncultured bacterium
Lineage: Bacteria
Description: partial 16S ribosomal RNA
Rfam family: Bacterial small subunit ribosomal RNA
Source: RNAcentral